GGCUUGGUGUAGUGGUUUGUGUGUUGGACUACAACUCUGGAGACCAUGGUUUGAAUCCCUGCUCAGCCA
Molecule: non-coding RNA, 69 nt
Organism: Phrynosoma platyrhinos (Desert horned lizard)
Lineage: Eukaryota; Metazoa; Chordata; Lepidosauria; Squamata; Phrynosomatidae
Source: the annotation of a GenBank genome assembly